Molecule: long non-coding RNA, 719 nt
Filed under: Physcomitrium patens
Lineage: Eukaryota; Viridiplantae; Streptophyta; Bryopsida; Funariales; Funariaceae
Description: long non-coding RNA (PPAT_LNC011728)
Source: RNAcentral
AAUGCUUUGGUUGCCAAAGCUUCCUUUCGAUCAUUGCUUUACUGUUGCUGCAUUGACAAUGAGAAGGCUUGAAACAAACUAGCAAUAGACGGAUCCAUGUGCAUACCUUGUCCUUUAGAAGACUCCCCCCCAGAAACUUCUCCCAAAAAUCCUUCAAAAUUUUUAUUUUCGUUUUCCAUAAAAAUAAAGAUAAAAUCAACCGAAAUCCAAUACCUUCUACCUCAAGCUUUCACGUCGGGUUCACCACUUAUGUCGUAUUACGUGCUUUCCAUCUCGAGAACGCGCCAGGCGUCUGGUUGUACAAGGUAGUAUGGAGAUUCGCCAAUAGUCAAGCAGUCUAUCAGUUUUUGACUGCUGGAAUAUAAACGACUGCAACAAUGUACUGUCAAUCUAUAGGGGUGCUCUUCGACUGCUUGUCGAAGUCCUUUUUGCCCCAGCCGGUAGGUCUCUAGACGUUACAGAGAACCCCGUACAACCCAAACUUUUAACCUUCAAUACUGCUUUGUACUUACGAUCUUGUAUCCACUGACUGUCUUGUUAGAUUAACCCAAUAAAUUUCAUUCACUCUGCAUACUCAAUCCUAUAGACACCUUUUUAAUCCUUCAAUCAUAGACGUAACUCGAUUUCACAAAACAGUCAAGAGUAUUCAAACCCACUUCAUUUAAAAAUCCCGAUUCACCAUUACAACACUGACUUUAGCAGCGAUUGCCUUAGUCUUC